This 281-nucleotide ribosomal RNA is filed under the name uncultured prokaryote. RNAcentral's name for it is "partial 16S ribosomal RNA". It matches the Rfam family "Bacterial small subunit ribosomal RNA", at positions 524 to 803 of the family's 1533-position model. The record is from RNAcentral.
UACGUAGGGGGCUAGCGUUAUCCGGAAUUACUGGGCGUAAAGGGUGCGUAGGUGGUUUCUUAAGUCAGAGGUGAAAGGCUACGGCUCAACCGUAGUAAGCCUUUGAAACUGGGAAACUUGAGUGCAGGAGAGGAGAGUGGAAUUCCUAGUGUAGCGGUGGAAUGCGUAGAUAUUAGAAGGAACACCAGUGGCGAGGGCGACUUUCUGGACUGUAACUGACGCUGAGGCACGAAAGCGUGGGUAGCGAACAGGAUUAGAUACCCUGGUAGUCCCUGAGCGGG